Molecule: ribosomal RNA, 253 nt
Filed under: uncultured bacterium
Lineage: Bacteria
Description: partial 16S ribosomal RNA
Rfam family: Bacterial small subunit ribosomal RNA
Source: RNAcentral
UACAGAGGUCGCAAGCGUUAAUCGGAUUUACUGGGCGUAAAGAGUGUGUAGGCGGUGCUCUAAGUUCGGUGUGAAAUCUCCCGGCUUAACUGGGAGGGUGCGCCGGAAACUGGAGUGCUCGAGCGUGGGAGAGGAAAGCGGAAUUCCUGGUGUAGCGGUGAAAUGCGUAGAUAUCAGGAGGAACACCUGCGGUGUAGACGGCUUUCUGGACCAUUGCUGACGCUGAGACACGAAAGCGUGGGUAGCAAACAGG